This 253-nucleotide ribosomal RNA is filed under the name uncultured bacterium. RNAcentral's name for it is "partial 16S ribosomal RNA". It matches the Rfam family "Bacterial small subunit ribosomal RNA", at positions 524 to 776 of the family's 1533-position model. The record is from RNAcentral.
UACGAAGGGUGCUAGCGUUGUUCGGAAUUACUGGGCGUAAAGCGCGCGUAGGCUGCUAUUCAAGUCAGGGGUGAAAUCCUGGGGCUCAACCCCAGAAUUGCCUUUGAAACUGUAUAGCUUGAGUGUCGGAGGGGAUAGCGGAAUUCCUAAUGUAGAGGUGAAAUUCGUAGAUAUUAGGAGGAACACCGGUGGCGAAGGCGGCUAUCUGGACGACAACUGACGCUGAGGCGCGAAAGCGCGGGGAUCAAACAGG